UACGGAGGGUGCGAGCGUUGUUCGGAAUUAUUGGGCGUAAAGCGCGUGUAGGCGGUUCUCUAAGUCUGAUGUGAAAGCCCCGGGCUCAACCUGGGAAGUGCAUUGGAAACUGGAGAACUUGAGUACGGGAGAGGGUAGUGGAAUUCCGAGUGUAGGGGUGAAAUCCGUAGAUAUUCGGAGGAACACCGGUGGCGAAGGCGGCUACCUGGACCGAUACUGACGCUGAGACGCGAAAGCGUGGGGAGCAAACAGGAUUAGAAACCCCCGUAGUCC
This 273-nucleotide ribosomal RNA is filed under the name uncultured bacterium. RNAcentral's name for it is "partial 16S ribosomal RNA". It matches the Rfam family "Bacterial small subunit ribosomal RNA", at positions 524 to 796 of the family's 1533-position model. The record is from RNAcentral.